CUUUUCCCUUUUCCUUCUUCAUCUCUCAUCUCGUUUUCGAUGUGGGAAGCUCAGGAGCUUUCACUUAACAUGAAGAAAGCUCUCAAACCCCGGCAUAGAAUUCUACCAGGUAGUUACUCAUCUGCCUCAUCAUAUUGUAGCCAAACUGAAAGCUUGAAGCAUCAAGGCUUUGAAGUUGGGGGUGGUGAUGAUGAUGAUGAUGAUGAUGAUGAUGGGGAGAAAUCGUCUGUGAUGCAGAGUUCGACUUGAUGUGAAUUAGGUGCUAUCCUACCUGAGCUCUUAUUCUUCGCUUUCUUUUCUUUCAUCAUUAUUCCUUCAUCCAACCAUUACCUUCUUCUUGACCUUGUAAGACCUUUUCUUGACCUUGUAAGAUCUCACGCCGGGUCUGUUGUCUUUCUCCCCCAAAUUCUAACACACUCUGCACCGGAAUUCCCCGAUGUAGAGUUUGGCCUCCGCUUCUCCCUGUUCCCGCCAUACCCUUCUUCUCCUUCCUUGUCUAUCCCUCCUGAGCUGUUCGAAACUAUAUGUACGUAUACAAUUCUGUCACACCCUGAAACCAAGACGAGUAUGAACUAAUCAGAUUAAGGUGUGAUAUAGCUAGGCACCAAUGCUAACUAGUCUGUAAUUCUGGGAAGGACUGAGAUGAUGAAGAUGUUAAUUGUAAAUGUGGUCCUCCCAUAGUAGCUAAGAGAGGUGUGAAGAAAGGUGUAGUACUAGCAGAAUAUUAAUGACAUAUAUAUGAUUCUAUCU
Argentina anserina (silverweed cinquefoil) is the source of this 750-nucleotide long non-coding RNA. RefSeq lists it as uncharacterized. NCBI's taxonomy places the organism in Eukaryota, Viridiplantae, Streptophyta, Magnoliopsida, Rosales, Rosaceae. The record is from RefSeq and is a predicted model, not a curated record. The transcript is spliced from 2 exons.